GAUGAAGAACGUAGUGAAAUGCGAUAAGUAAUGUGAAUUGCAGAAUUCAGUGAAUCAUCGAAUCUUUGAACGCACAUUGCGCCCGCCAGUAUUCUGGCGGGCAUGCCUGUCUGAGCGCCAUUUCAACCCUCAUGCCCCUAGGGCGUGGUGUUGGGGAUCGGCCAAAGCCCGCGAGGGACGGCCGGCCCCUAAAUCUAGUGGCGGACCCGUCGUGGCCUCCUCUGCGAAGUAGUGAUAUUCCGCAUCGGAGAGCGACGAGCCCCUGCCGUUAAACCCCCAACUUUCCAAGGUUGACCUCAGAUCAGGUAGGAAUACCCGCUGAACUUAAGCAUAUCAAUAAGCGGAGGA
This 348-nucleotide unclassified non-coding RNA is filed under the name soil metagenome. RNAcentral describes it as "partial contains 5.8S ribosomal RNA, internal transcribed spacer 2, and large subunit ribosomal RNA". The stretch from base 1 to 120 matches the Rfam family "5.8S ribosomal RNA", at positions 35 to 154 of the family's 154-position model. The record is from RNAcentral.